This is a non-coding RNA of Fimicolochytrium jonesii, 83 nucleotides long. The record is from the annotation of a RefSeq genome assembly. Lineage: Eukaryota; Fungi; Chytridiomycota; Chytridiomycetes; Spizellomycetales; Powellomycetaceae.
CCUCCCGUAGCGUAGUGGCAACGCGUCGGACUUCUAUGCGUUAGGACAUCCGAAGAUCGGCGGUUCGACCCCGUCCGGGAGUG